This 461-nucleotide ribosomal RNA is filed under the name uncultured bacterium. RNAcentral's name for it is "partial 16S ribosomal RNA". It matches the Rfam family "Bacterial small subunit ribosomal RNA", at positions 338 to 795 of the family's 1533-position model. The record is from RNAcentral.
CCUACGGGUGGGCAGCAGUGAGGAAUAUUGGUCAAUGGGCGGAAGCCUGAACCAGCCAAGUAGCGUGCAGGAUGACGGCCCUACGGGUUGUAAACUGCUUUUAUACGGGAAUAACGCUCCUUACGUGUAGGUCUUUGCAUGUACCGUCUGACUAAGGACCGGCUAAUUCCGUGCCAGCAGCCGCGGUAAUUCGGAGGGUCCGGGCGUUAUCCGGACUUAUUGGGUGUAAAGGGAGCGUAGGCCGCCUGUCAAGCGUGCUGUGAAAUGUCCGGGCUCAACCCGGGCCUUGCAGCGCGUACUGGCGUGCUUGAGUCCGCGGAAGGCGGGCAGAAUUCGUCGUGUAGCGGUGAAAUGCUUAGAUAUGACGAAGAACCCCGAUUGCGAAGGCAGCUUGCUGCAGCGGAACUGACGCUGAUGCUCGAAAGCGCGGGUAUCGAACAGGAUUAGAUACCCUAGUAGUC